This 1423-nucleotide long non-coding RNA is filed under the name Salmo salar (Atlantic salmon). RNAcentral's name for it is "lncRNA (ENSSSAG00000093000.1)". The record is from RNAcentral. Lineage: Eukaryota; Metazoa; Chordata; Actinopteri; Salmoniformes; Salmonidae.
AGGACACAGACAGGCAGUUAGAGAUUACACCCAGACAGCAUGUGCAGCGUUUCAGAUAGACACACAACAAGCCCAGUCCAGUACUUCCUUACCCAGACAUUCACAAUAGGCCUGAGCCUCAAACACCCAUAAAGUCCAUAGAGCUUCAGCCAGAGGCCAUAUACUGCAGCUAACCGUGUCCCAUAGUCCAGUUCCACAAAGCCUUGAGGUCAACUGAAGGCAAUGAGAAGAGCAACUCCACAGACAAAGUUCUUCCUGCUCUCCUUUCCUGCUCUCCUUUCCUGCUCUCCUUUCCUGCUCUCCUUUCCUGCUCUCCUUUCCUGCUCUCCUUUCCUGCUCUCCUUUCCUGCUCUCCUCCACUCUUUGUGCUGUGUGUUCUAUUGCCCUCUCAGGGAGGAAAGCUGACAUUUUCACCUGAGAGGGCAAUAGAACACACAGCACAAAGAGUGGAGGAGAGCAGGAAAGGAGAGCAGGAAAGGAGAGCAGGAAGAACUUUGUCUGUGGAGUUGCUCUUCUCAUUGCCUUCAGUUGACCUCAAGGCUUUGUGGAACUGGACUAUGGGACACGGUUAGCUGCAGUAUAUGGCCUCUGGCUGAAGCUCUAUGGACUUUAUGGGUGUUUGAGGCUCAGGCCUAUUGUGGAUGUCUGGGUACUGAGCCCCUGAGUCAUUGUCUAUGAAUACACUGGCUGUCUGUACUGUAGUGAGUGUCCCCAAGCCAGCUAACCUCAAGGAGGAAGAUGUGGGAGAUGCGCACAGACACAAACAUAUGUCCUACAGAACAUGAAUGAAAAAGGACGCUCUUUGAUGCUUCUGAGUGUGAAGUAAGACACAUAGGUUACACUACAGAGAGUUCUGGACUUACUCUCUCUUUCUCUCUCUCUCUCUCUCACACACACACGCACACACACCCUAACACACACACCCUGAGACAUGGAUACUAUGGUGAAGCAGUCUCUGGCGGUGCCCAUGAAGAUGCUGUCCAGCUGUGUGACAGGAGUGAAGGAGAGAGAGGUGUGGGCCAGGCGCAGGGCCAAGAGGGGGACAGGAGGAGUAAAGAGCAGCCCUCCACGGACAGGACAGACCUCCGUCAUACGCUCCUACCAAACUGACCUGGAGAAGGAGAGGAAGCUGAGGGAAGCCCUGAAUGCUCAGAAGCACGCAGAGAGAGCCGCCAUGAGGGAUCACUUCAGGAAGAAGUACCAGCUCUCCAAGAUGAGGACACCAUUAAUUCCUUAACGAGAUGGAGGAGAGAGCCCACAGCCCCUCUGUCACAGAUCCUUAUGCACAGAUUUAGGAUCAGCUCUUCUAUAAUUAUAACCGUUAGGGGGAGAAAUUUGAAACUGACGACAUCCUACUGCCACAGUGGAUGAGAUAAGUCAACGGGCAACGUUAACACCUUUCACUGUACCACACAGAUGCUGG